CCUUCGGGUGAGAGUAGAGUGGCGCACGGGUGAGUAACGCGUGGGAACCUGCCAAGCAGUGGGGAAUAACCUCGGGAAACUGAGGCUAAUACCGCAUACGCCCUUUUGGGGAAAGAUUUAUCGCUGUUUGAUGGUCCCGCGUCCGAUUAGCUAGUUGGUAAGGUAAUGGCUUACCAAGGCGACGAUCGGUAGCUGGUCUGAGAGGAUGAUCAGCCACACUGGAACUGAGACACGGUCCAGACUCC
RNAcentral lists this ribosomal RNA (245 nucleotides) under uncultured bacterium. Its description in RNAcentral is "partial 16S ribosomal RNA". It matches the Rfam family "Bacterial small subunit ribosomal RNA", at positions 77 to 339 of the family's 1533-position model. The record is from RNAcentral.